Molecule: long non-coding RNA, 1632 nt
Organism: Leopardus geoffroyi (Geoffroy's cat)
Lineage: Eukaryota; Metazoa; Chordata; Mammalia; Carnivora; Felidae
Exons: 2
Source: RefSeq, a predicted model, not a curated record
AUUUGCAAUAAAAAUGUUAAUUCAUACUUAAUUCUUUAUUAGCAUCUUAGCUCUUUCACUUACCAGCUAUGUGACUUGGCAAACUGACCUCUCUCAGAUUCUGUUUCCUCAUGUGUAAAAUAGGGGCAUUCACUCAGUGUAGAGGUAAUUUGUAUCAUCGACCAGAUAUUUCCUGCCUGUCCCCACACACCAUAGGGUUGUACUCUCUGUCCUGACCCAUUAUGGUUGGGUGGUUCCAGGCAACUAGUUGCGAACAAGGAAUUCUGAGCAGAAGUGAUGAUUGUCAUUUCCAGGCUGGAGCUUUAAAUUGCAGAUCGGAGAGUCUCUGAGCCCCACUUCCCUCUGCUGCUGGCAAUUCUGUCAGCCCAGGAGCUACAGAGCAGGUUCCAGAGCUACCCAUCAAAGGACAUGGAGAUGGCUAGAAAUAAAACAAUUUCAUUCUGAAUGAGAACAAGAUUGCUAAACAUCACUCUUGGAGCAAUCUAGGAUUCACGUCUCCAUGUUCUGGACUCAGAAUUUAAAUGGGCAAACGAAUGCAGAAGACUUUCAGACCACUCUCCCUUCUUUGUAUGUCUGGCUUCUUCCCAUCUCCCAAAUUCAACAUUAAGAUCAUAUUCUUACAUAAAGUUCUCCAUGACUGUUAAGCAAUUUGGGCCUAUGUAGUUCAUUGGAAUGCAACACAUGGGUAUUUCAAAGUCAAGUGAUUAGAAAACUAUGGGCCCCAAAUACUGUUCAUGGAAAUAUGCCUCCAUAGUAAAUGCUGUCAGAGCACCUGUGCCCUUCCUAGCUUCUGCUGGCCCAGUCUUCUGAUUCUUUUCCUCACUGAAUAGCCUCUUAUAAAGCACCUGCAACUCUCCCUGGGGGCUUUCUCUGGCUGCAGGAGCAUGACACAGGGUGCAGGGAAGGCUGGAAAUAUCUGUGAGUUGAUGCCUCCAGAAGCAGCCCUCAAUACCCAUCCAGUGGGAAGUUUUGGAUAAAUAACCUCAUGUUUCCCAUGGGGCAACACUGAGGCAUGUUAUGCAAAGUCUCCCCAGGGUCCCCAAAGUCCUGAGUUCCCACUGACUGCCACAGUGGUAAUUCUGCUCAUUAGCAUAUCUUUGAUAAAUUUUCCUCCCUUCCUUGUCUCACUUCCUUACUCACCUUUGAGUGGUUCCUAGGAUCACCCUCCAGAUGAACUACUUGUACUCACACCCUUAUCUCACAGUCUACUUCUGGGGAGACCCAAGCUAAAACAGCAUUUUCCCACAUGAGAAAAUGAACCCAAUAUAAAAAAAAACUGUAUUAAGAGGAGCAUGAACCAACAAUGGCUGAUGAUUAAGAAGAAUAGCUGCAGGUAAAAACUAUAGAUAACACCACCAGGGAUGCACUGAUCAGGUUUUCCCCAAGCCUAGGAAUGCCUAGUAUCUGUUUGUGUGCAGCUGUGAAAUGUUUAGUGGAAGCUUUCAUUGGAAUCCUGAAUUACUGUUCCUAGUAAACUCCAAAAUCGUGUGAUCUAAAAUGUAUGAAUACCAAAUUUUAGUAACAGUGAAUUCUUCAUAUAGUAGCUUACUAGUAUGUAGCACUUGUUUAUAUAUAAAAAAUAAAAUGAUACAUGGCAUAUUACUUGCUCAUAAUAAAGAAAAAAACUCAGUG